Molecule: ribosomal RNA, 274 nt
Filed under: uncultured bacterium
Lineage: Bacteria
Description: partial 16S ribosomal RNA
Rfam family: Bacterial small subunit ribosomal RNA
Source: RNAcentral
AUACGGAGGGUGCGAGCGUUAUCCGGAUUUAUUAGGUUUAAAGGGUGUGUAGGCGGGAGCCUAAGUCAGUGGUGAAAUCUCACAGCUUAACUGUGAAACUGCCAUUGAAACUGGGGUUCUUGAGUAUAGUUGAGGUAGGCGGAAUGUGUAAUGUAGCGGUGAAAUGCAUAGAUAUUACACAGAACACCGAUUGCGAAGGCAGCUUACUAAGCUAUUACUGACGCUGAUGCACGAAAGCGUGGGUAGCGAACAGAAUUAGAAACCCGGGUAGUCC